CAGAGAAUAGUUUAACAUAAAAGAAUUAUAACUUUGGGAGUUAUAGGUGCAAAUGUAGAGUUUUGUCUCUCUGA
This 74-nucleotide transfer RNA is filed under the name Luidia foliolata. Its description in RNAcentral is "tRNA-Pro". Lineage: Eukaryota; Metazoa; Echinodermata; Asteroidea; Paxillosida; Luidiidae. The record is from RNAcentral.